This 803-nucleotide ribosomal RNA is filed under the name uncultured Thermoplasmata archaeon. RNAcentral describes it as "bacterial SSU rRNA". It matches the Rfam family "Archaeal small subunit ribosomal RNA", at positions 1 to 810 of the family's 1478-position model. The record is from RNAcentral. Lineage: Archaea; Methanobacteriati; Thermoplasmatota; Thermoplasmata.
UUCCGGUUGAUCCUGCCGGAGGCUACUGCUAUUGGAGUUCGAUAAAGCCAUGCGAGUCUAAGGGACUUCGGUCCCUGGCAUAAUGUUCAGUAACAAGUGGAUAAUCUGCCCUCAGGUGAGGAAUAAACCCGGGAAACUGGGGCCAAUACCUCAUAGAUACAGGAAGCUGGAAUGCUCCUGUAUUCAAAGCUCCGGCGCCUGAGGAUGAGUCUGCUCCCUAUCAGGUUGUAGUCAGGGUCAUGACCUGACUAGCCAACGACGGGUACGGGGUGUGAGAGCACUUGCCCGGAGAUGGUUUCUGAGACACGAAACCAGGCCCUACGGGGCGCAGCAGGCGCGAAAACUUCGCAAUGCGGGAAACCGUGACGAGGGAACUCCAAGUGUCUAUGCAAUGCAUAGACUGUUUUUCAGCCUAAAUAGCUGUUAGAGUAAGGGGUGGGUAAGACCGGUGCCAGCCGCCGCGGUAACACCGGCACCCCAAGUGGUAGCCACUAUUAUUGGGCCUAAAGCGUUCGUAGCCGGUUUGGUAAAUUCUUGGGUAAAUCGUACCGCUUAACGGUGCGGAUUCCGGGGACACUACCAGACUUGAGACUGGGGGAGAUCAGAGGUACUUGCGGGGGAGCGGUGAAAUGUUGUUAUCCCGCAGGGACCACCAGUGGCGAAGGCGUCUGAUCACAACGGUUCUGACGGUGAGGAACGAAACCCUGGGGCGCAAACGGGAUUAGAUACCCCGGUAGUCCAGGGCGUAAACGCUGCUGACUUGGUGUUGGAGAUCCUACGAGGGUGUCCAGUGCUGGCGCGAA